Molecule: non-coding RNA, 447 nt
Organism: Pimephales promelas (fathead minnow)
Lineage: Eukaryota; Metazoa; Chordata; Actinopteri; Cypriniformes; Leuciscidae
Source: RefSeq, a predicted model, not a curated record
UGCAAUCAAAGGCAACUUAUGCAUUUCUGUUAAAUAUGGUUCACAAUUAAAAUAUAAAUAUAUGAGGUUAAAAAUCAUAUGAUUGAAAUGUUUCAUGGUCAAUAAAUAAUAAUUUCAUGAUUAUUUCUUUUGUUAAAAUCUGUGAGGAAAAGGGUGGAACUUAUUUUUUGUUCCGUGCGGAAAUCAUAAUUUGUUGCUAUAGGGACGCUUUAUGGGUACACUCGCAAAGAUCUAGAUGAGAGAAAUGUGCUGCGGUUUUCUGAAAAGCCAUGGAAGAUUAUAAAGAUAAUUUAUAAGUUUUAUUGUUGAGGAUUGAAGACGAAUACCCUUCUAAGUUUACCCUCUCGAGUGCAUGUGGCCAAUGAGUUCUGACGGCAAUUUGGAAAUGCAACAAGUGAACAUGUAAAGACAUGUCCGUCAUGGAAUAAAUAUGCCCGUGAAAAUCCA